RNAcentral lists this transfer RNA (85 nucleotides) under Felis catus (domestic cat). It matches the Rfam family "tRNA". From Rfam's summary of the family: Transfer RNA (tRNA) molecules are approximately 80 nucleotides in length. Their secondary structure includes four short double-helical elements and three loops (D, anti-codon, and T loops). Further hydrogen bonds mediate the characteristic L-shaped molecular structure. tRNAs have two regions of fundamental functional importance: the anti-codon, which is responsible for specific mRNA codon recognition, and the 3' end, to which the tRNAs corresponding amino acid is attached (by aminoacyl-tRNA synthetases). tRNAs cope with the degeneracy of the genetic code in two manners: having more than one tRNA (with a specific anti-codon) for a particular amino acid; and 'wobble' base-pairing, i.e. permitting non-standard base-pairing at the 3rd anti-codon position. Lineage: Eukaryota; Metazoa; Chordata; Mammalia; Carnivora; Felidae. The record is from Rfam by way of RNAcentral.
ACCUGGGUGGCUAAGUCAGUUAAGCGUCUGACUUCAGCUCAGGUCAUGAUAUCAUGGUUCAUGGGUUCAAGCCCCAUGUCGGGUU